UUAUGUUUUAGUGGAAGGUUCUGGAAAGUACCGCGAUACAGGGUGAUAGCCCCGUACACGAAAAGGCAUUUAGAGUGAAAUCGAGUAGGUCGGGACACGUGUUAUCUUGACUGAAGAUGGGGGGCCCAUCCUCCAAGGCUAAAUACUCCCUACUGACCGAUAGUGAACCAGUACCGUGAGGGAAAGGUGAAAAGUACCCCGACGAGGGGAGUGAAAUAGUACCUGAAACCGAAUGCUUACAAACAGUUGGAGCCCGUAAGGGUGACAGCGUACCUUUUGUAUAAUGGGUCAGCGACUUAAUUUAGCGAGCAAGCUUAAGCCGAUAGGUGUAGGCGUAGGGAAACCGAGUCUUAAUAGGGCGUUUUAGUUCGUUGGAUUAGACCCGAAACCGAGUGAUCUAGCCAUGAGCAGGUUGAAGGUGCGGUAACACGCACUGGAGGACCGAACCCACGAAUGUUGAAAAAUUCGGGGAUGACUUGUGGCUAGGGGUGAAAGGCCAAUCAAACUCGGAAAUAGCUGGUUCUCCGCGAAAUCUAUUUAGGUAGAGCGUCCUGUGAAUACUCCUGGGGGUAGAGCACUGGAUGGGCUAUGGGGGCUCACCGCCUUACUGAUCCUAACCAAACUCCGAAUACCAGGAAGUACUGCAGGGCAGACACACAGUGGGUGCUAACGUCCAUUGUGGAGAGGGAAACAACCCUGACCGCCAGUUAAGGUCCCUAAGUUAUGGCUAAGUGGGAAAGGAUGUAGAGAUCCCAAAACAACCAGGAUGUUGGCUUAGAAGCAGCCAUCAUUUAAAGAAAGCGUAACAGCUCACUGGUCUAAAUAAGGGUCUCCGCGCCGAAAAUGUACCGGGGCUCAAGCCAUACACCGAAACUGCGGGUGCACGUAAGUGCGCGGUAGCGGAGCGUUCUGUAAGCUGAUGAAGGUGGACCCGUGAGGGCUGCUGGAGGUAUCAGAAGUGCGAAUGCUGACAUGAGUAACGAUAAAGAGGGUGAGAGACCCUCUCGCCGAAAGUCCAAGGGUUCCUGCGCAACGCUAAUCGGCGCAGGGUUAGCCGGCCCCUAAGGCGAGGCCGAAAGGCGUAGUCGAUGGGAACGGGGUUAAUAUUCCCCGGCCAGUGGGUAGUGACGGAUGCCGUGUAUCGUAUCUCCUUAUUGGAUUGGAGAUGCGGUGAAGGUGUUCCUGGAAAUAGCUCCCACGCUAAGACCGUACCCGAAACCGACACAGGUGGACAGGUAGAGUAUACCAAGGCGCUUGAGAGAACUGUGCUGAAGGAACUCGGCAAAUUGCUCCCGUAAGUUCGCGAGAAGGGAGCCCAAUAUGAAGGCAACUUUGUAUUGGGGGCACAGAAUAGGGGGUUGCGACUGUUUAUCAAAAACACAGGGCUCUGCGAAGCCGCAAGGCGACGUAUAGGGUCUGACGCCUGCCCGGUGCUGGAAGGUUAAGAGGAGGUGUGCAAGCACCGAAUUGAAGCCCCAGUAAACGGCGGCCGUAACUAUAACGGUCCUAAGGUAGCGAAAUUCCUUGUCGGGUAAGUUCCGACCUGCACGAAUGGCGUAACGACUUCCCCGCUGUCUCCAGCACAGACUCAGUGAAAUUGAAUUCCCCGUGAAGAUGCGGGGUUCCUGCGGUCAGACGGAAAGACCCCGUGCACCUUUACUACAGCUUCACACUGGUAUUCGUGAUGACAUGUGUAGGAUAGGUGGUAGGCGUUGAAGCGUGAGCGCCAGCUCGCGUGGAGCCAUCCUUGAAAUACCACCCUUGUCCUCAUGGAUAUCUAACCGCGGUACUACAAUAUCCGGGACCGUGUGUGGCGGGUAGUUUGACUGGGGCGGUCGCCUCCCAAAUGGUAACGGAGGCGCCCAAAGGUUCCCUCAGACUGGUUGGCAAUCAGUCGUCGAGUGCAAUGGCACAAGGGAGCUUGACUGUGAGACUUACAAGUCGAACAGGGACGAAAGUCGGACAUAGUGAUCCUACCGUGGCAUGUGGAAGCGCGGUGGCUUAACGGCUAAAAGGUACUCCGGGGAUAACAGGCUUAUACCCCCCAAGAGUCCAUAUCGACGGGGGUGUUUGGCACCUCGAUGUCGGCUCAUCACAUCCUGGGGCUGAAGCAGGUCCCAAGGGUAUGGCUGUUCGCCAUUUAAAGUGGUACGCGAGCUGGGUUCAGAACGUCGUGAGACAGUUCGGCUC
Molecule: ribosomal RNA, 2190 nt
Filed under: coral metagenome
Description: bacterial LSU rRNA
Rfam family: Bacterial large subunit ribosomal RNA
Source: RNAcentral